AUUGAGUUUCAAUGAAAUAACUGCCUGUAUUUUUAAUGACCUGAGAGUAAUAUAAUUUAACUUACUUUUAAGAUACUUCUUAAUGGAAAUUUUUUUUCUCUUUAGGGGCUCUUUCACCCUGCCCCUCCAAUAAGCUGACUUGGUGAAGUUUUGAUAUAUUUUAUAGUAUAUUUUUACUCUCUAGGUCCUUGAUACAGUUCACAAGCAUAGGAGUGAGCUCUGGGAGGAGGAGGGGUUCCUUGCUGUGUUCCUGAUAUCUUUUCCCAGUAGACUUCCCUGCUCACCACCUCCUGUAUCUGACGUUCAUUUCCACAAGAGCAGAAACACCCUGACUAUUCUAUGCUUUGGGCCUAUUUCCAACUCCUUCUGACUAUAUCCCAGCUUAUAUCCAAUAGAUAAGAGUAUUUUCAUCCUUCAUCCCUUCAGCUUCAACAAAGGUGGUAGAAGAAGUAGGCCAACAUUUUAUUUGUUUAGCAUUAACUCAUCAAACUGAUGUUACUUUUACUUUUAACUUAAAAAAGAAAAAAAGCGACGACUAAUCCAGAGGAUGGAAUGCAGUAGGUCUAGUGGUUCUGCUCCACAAGGUUAUCUAAGGACAAAGGGUAAAAAAAAAAAAAAAAAAUUAUGAUUAUCCUUUUCAGGGUCAGAUUCCAAAAAAAUCAUGGUUUAGAAAAUUGUUACAUUAUUUCUAAGUUACUUUGAAGAAAGUUGUUUUUCCACAUACCUACUUCCAAAACAUCAACAUUAAAAUGUAGAAAGACUAAGACCUAUUCAGUGUUGUAGUUUCCAGAACUGGGAAGAGUAAAGCACACGCUUUAAUUGUAUAAAAGCAUUAGUAGCAAUGUAUUCAGGCAAGUGAGAGAGUUCCAUUAAGAAGGUAAAUGUUUGAGUUGUCGCUUAAAAGAAAAAUGGAAUAUUGUGUCUGUAAUAAAUUUUGUAUAUUCUUUCUCAAAGAACAAAUGUCCUGUUAGUAGACCCUGAGUUCACCCAUGUCUAAAAGUGAUAACUUUUAGUGAUAACUAGAGUAAAGUUGCAGUUUUUACUGUUUUAAGCCUUCCACGCUUCAGAUGAUGACUGGAGAGACAAAUGGAAUUAUCAUUGGCCUUCCUGUGACUACUGAAGAAUCACAUUCUUGAUGCUUUAAUCAGUUCUCAUUCCAUUAAACUGUGUAGCCUCCCUGGGGAUCAUGUUUUUCAUUAUUAUUUAAACUUUCAGGUUCUUUAAUCCUAAAAUCAUAAUUGAUAUAAUCUCAUUAAUUUCUUCAGCAAUUGGUAUUCAUCAGUAGACCACCAGAAUUUAAUAACAACACUGUAAUUUAGGCUAAAUGCAAAUGAAGUGGAAGUCCCCACCAGAAGAAGCUACCCUUAAAAAAAAAAAAAAAGAUUUAUUUUUAUUUAUUUGGGGGGGAGGGACAGAGGGAGAGAAUUUCAAGCAGACUCCCCACUGACCAUGGAGCCUGACACAGGGCCUCAAUCCCCAUGAGAUCAUGACCUGAGCCAAAACCAAGAGUCAGAUGCUCAGCCAACUGAGCCACCCAGGCGCCCCAAGAAGCUACACACUUAAUAAAGGGAAUGGUACACACAAAGAUAAAUGUUAGGGUGACCAGUAAGUGCAAAAAGCAGGCAGAGAAGGGAUAAGUCAUCAUGGUUAAUGUGAUCAGGGAGAAUUUAUAACCUUAGGAAGUUGCUAAUCAAGUUUCUGUUUAUAGCAGAGAUCAUAGAAUAUUUGACUUUACACAUGAACUGUUCAUGUGACUACAUGAUUUUUUUUAGUCUUGUGGUUAUAUGACAAUAGAUUCUGGUCUGGUUGCUGUCAUCAUUAAAUAGUUAUUCUGAAGAUGAUUUAUAUGUAAUUAACCCUUAGGCAUAUACUGCUUGGUCAAUCUCAUAAUAGCACUGGCUUGGGCAUUCUGCUGCUGGCUCUGCUGAGCACUAGUUCUGAGAUUUUAAGCAACGAUAGUUUUCUCAUUUCUUAAAGUGAGGGAGUCCAACUGGACCCCUUGCAUGUCUAAACUUCCAUGACUCUGCUUAUCCAAACAUCUGGAACCUCAGACUCCUCUUUGGUUCUUAAUUCUUCUUUAUUUUAGUCACCUAGUCCUGUUGUUCCUUCCUUCAAAGAAGGAAAUUGUUCUCAAAUCUGCUGUUCCUUAUGCCUGGUCUUCUUGGCUCCAUUCUCACCCAUUCCUCAUUCAUCCAGGUAAAUUUCUAAAUUAAUCUUUGAAAUUCAAAUAUCAAUUUCCUCACCUCACUUUCUCAAAUAAAAACUUUGGAAAUAAAGGCUGUUGAGACUUUAUACAAUAUAAACUUACCAGGGCACCUGGCUGGCUCAGUUGGAAGAGCUUGCAACUCUAGAUCUUGGGAUGUGAGUUCAAGCCCCAUGUUGGGUGUAGAGAUUACUUAAAUUAAUAAAAUUUAAGAAAGUUUCAACUUGCCUGGUCACUCAUUUCCUUAUCAAACUACCACCUUGCCUUAUUCCCUUCUAUGUCUCUGAACCAAGACCAGCUGCACUUGUCUCCUAACAAAUACAUAGUUUACCUUCCUGAUUUAACAGUUUCUAUUUCUCAAGCCUGCGACAUUCUUACUCUUUUCUCCGGGAAUCAAAUCCUUCCCAGUUGCUUGAGAUCUAGAUGAAGCUCUACCUCUUGCCAGAAGCCUUUCUACCUGAUCUGGCUUGCAUUACUUUUCCCCUUCUUUGGGUUCCCUCCUAGCAUUUAUGACCUCUAGAAUACAUUUUGACACAUGAUUUUAUACUGUUACGCAUUGUUACUUGAUAACUUCAUAAAUGGGUGUCUUGACUCCUUAAAAAUAGGACCACUUUUGCAUUUAUUUUCCAUUGUCCACAGAACCUGGUAGACACUGUGCCUAUGGGAGGUAGUUAAUCAGAACUUACGGAACUGAAUUGCCUAUUUUUUUUCCCUAGUGCCUGGCAUAGGAAGGCUGGUCUUGCCUUUUCCUUUCUGUCCAGCAGCCAGUUCUAUCCUCAGGUGUCUGUCCUACCACCACAGCCAUCUCUCCCUAAUAGAGAGCUAAUGUACUGCCUAAUGGAGGUCCCCAUUUGUCCUGUUCACUUUGCAGCACUCAGCUGUGUUUCCACUUCUGCUCUAUUCUGUGUCCUUACGGUGGGCUACUUCUGUAGCCCACAAGCUAUAUAGGCAUGAGCUGCAGAAUAGGAGGCCUGUUGGCAUUGUUAUAACCAGAGUUGUGGUUCAGGGACAGGAGCUCACAGCAAUACAGUGGAGUAGUUUGAUGUUUGAGUGUAGACAGAGGCUCUGGGACAGUUUUUGGAGGUGUGUCCCGAAAUCUGUCAAGUGUGACUAAGAGUUAGGCCAGUGCCAGUUAGAUAAACUGAACUGUAAAGCCAACAAAACCAUAGGUUUGCUUUGGGAGCUAGACUAAUGUUAAUAUCUGGUCUGAUCUCUUUUUCACACAGGAAAUUAAGGCCCAAGGAGGAGGCUGCAAAUAGUAGCUACUCAUUAGUAUUUGCUGAUUGCAAAUAAUUCAGUGCAGGCUAUGUUUGGAUGGAUUAAUUCUUUAUGGUAUUAAAUGUCAAGAAUUGGCCAACUAGUCUUGGUAUUAGUCACUUAUUCAAGAGUAGUAAGAGUUUGUUGGUAUGACUUCCAAACAGAUUACAUCAAGGGAAUGUGGCCCUGCCAGCUCCUGGAUUUUGGCCCAGUGAAACUAAUUUGGGACUUCUGACCUAUAGAACUGUAAGAUAAUUUUUGUUGAUGUAAGCCACUAGAUUUAUUGUAAUUCUUUAUGGCAGUUAUAGGAAACAAAUGCACUAAGAUUAGCUAUUUCCUGAUACUAUUUUUUUUAAUAUUUUUUAUUUAUUUGUCAUAGAGAGAGAGCACAAGCAGAGGGAGCGGCAGGCAGAGGGAGAAGCAGGCUCCCUGCUGAGCAAGGACCCCGAUGCGGGACUCCAUCCCAGGACCCUGGGAUCAUGACCUGAGCCAAAGGCAGACGCUUAAUGACUGAGCCACCCAGGCGCCCCUAAACUCUUACUUAUUUGUUGACAACUAAGUACUAGGCUCUAUUACAGCCAUUGGGGAUAUGGUGAUGAAUGAUAGAUUCUGCCUUCAAGGAGCUUGUAGAUGAUACACAGAUAUACAAGUGUGAUAAUUUUGACUAAUUUUUUUUUUUUUUAAAUGGAAGGAUCUUUGAGAUAGUAAGUGAACGAAAGAAAGUUCCAGCUUGGGCUCCUGGGUGGCUCAAUUGGUUAAGCAACUGCCUUCAGCUCAGGUCAUGAUCCUGGAGUCCCAGGGUCGAGUCCCACAUUGGGCUCCCUGCUCAGCAGGGACUCUGCUUCUCCCUCUGACCCUCCCCUCUCUCAUGCUCUCUCUCUCUCAUAUAAAUAAAAUCUUUAAAACAACAAAAAAAGAAAGUUCCAACACCAUACAUGUAGUGUGAUACUUUUUAUAUGAAAUUAACUGCAUAUAUAUGAAUUACUAGUGAAAUGAAUUUUUAAGUGUUGAAAAUGCAUAUCUGAAUUGUUUAUUAGAUUCAACAGAUGUAAAAUUACUUUGUCAAAUUGCCAUAACAAUUUCUAGACACUCUCAGUUUCUGUACUUAUUAACUACUGAUAACAAACAGUUCAGAGUUUGGUCCCAGCCCAUGGGCCAUUCUUUGGUAUUAUUCUUUGAAUUUUUUAAAAUAGCGAACAUUUAUUUUUUGUAUAAUUGCAAUUGUUUUGAAAAAAAUUCCAAUUCAGUCUGAUAAUUGACAUAUAGGUACAAGGUAGAGAAGUGGUUCCGAGGAUGGGGUAGUUUUAUGGACAAGCAACAAAGAAGGUGGCAAAAAGGAGAUGGAUUUUAAAGGCUACAUGGGCAUUUGUCAGAAAGGUAAGUGUGGAAGAGUGUUUUAAACAGGGAAAACAGGAGCCAUGGUAGAGAGGUAUGAAAUUGCUAGGUGUGUUGAGAAAGGUAGUGGACAUCUUUCCCUUAGGGACCCACAACUUCUCCAUUCUCAGUGUAGGUGGUUUGGGUAGGGCUGACCUCCUCCCUAGCUCACAAACUAAUCAGCAUUUCUCACCCCUCUUCACUUCCUCCCAGUGAUUGGUUCAGCACGUCAGUUAAGUCCAGGACUUUUACUGUAACCCUGGCUAGGGAAAGAGAAGGAAGUAUUUGUUUCUUCUGGGAUUGUCAAGAGGGGAGAUGUAAGCCCAGACCUACAGAGUGCCAUCUUACUACUGGAUAGGGGAACCAGUUUGAGAAUGGAGUCAGCAGAGAAAAAGAACAGAGGCCAGAGACAGAAACCCAAUCCAAAGACUUCAUUUAAGGCUCGCAUGUAGCCAUACCCUAUCUUCUACCCCUGGGAUUUUCAGUUACAUGAACAAAUAACUCCUUUUUAUUCAUUUAAUCUUAAAUCCUCUUAACUGAAAAGACCUACAUAAAGAAUAUUAUGGUGUGCUAGAAUAUUGUGUGUGUGUUUGUGUGUGUGUGUAUGUGUACACUAGGGACUAAAAUGCUACAGGGGUGGGCAAGGUCUAGAAGGGCUGAGGAACAGGUCUUCACUUUUGGAGGCUCCCAGAAGCUCUGGAGGAUCUAAAGCAAUGGUAAAAGGGAGUCACUAGUGCUAAGCCCACAUCACCAAAUCAAAACUAACAUCUAACUUAAUUGCAUUUUUAGCCUCCUCCAGGAAUGUAAUCUUAACCCUUCAGUCUAGAAUUUCUUGGUUGGCAGUAGGGAGGUAAUUCAUCUACUAGGUCCAUUUUGUCCCCCAGAGGAAGGUGACCUUGCCUGAAAUAAUCCUUCCUCCCCACCCCACCCCCACUUAUGACUUCCUUGUCCCAUUCCUUCUCUGGCUUUAAAGUCUUUACUUUUCUGUAGCUCUUUGGAGCUCUUUUCUGUUUGCUAGAUGGAGAACUGCCCAAUUCAUAAAUCGCUCAAUAAAGCCAAUUAGAUCUUUAAAAUUUACUCAGUUGAAUUUGUUUUUUUUAUUUAACAGCAGUGAUUACCUCAAGAAAAUGAAGAGCUAUAAAUCAGAAAGUAAUAUUAAGAACAGUUACUUCCUCAAGUUUUUCUAGUAGUUUCAUUUUUCUUCUGUUUCUUUACUUCUGGUUGGGGCUAGGCAAUUAAAAAUGGAAAGCACCUAGCAAGUCCUUGAAAAUUACAUAUUAAAAAAUACUGUUUUCCUUUUAAGGAUUGAGAGUUAUACUAUAAUUUACAAAAUUAUAAUUUUGAGCAAUGAAGUAGGUGACUCCAUUUACUAGUGUUUUCUGUUUCCAAUAAGCAUUCAGCAUAAGCAGACUUUCACUGAAGAAACUUUUAGGAAUAUUAAGAAUCAGCUUUUCUGAAGCACCCUACUCAGUUUUCUUAGCAGGAACAAGAAGUAACUGGGAAUCUCAGGAAUGCUUUGGCCGUUUUGGACAUUAUAACAAAAAUAAAUGAGCUUCACAUUAAGUUCCCUACAUAUAAUUAUCAUGUCUCUUUAACCUAGAAUAAUUACCUAGGGUUUUUUGUCUUUUAUAGUAUUUUUCAUGAUUCCAGGCCAAUGGUUUUGCAGCAUGUUCCUCAACUUGGAUUUGUCUGAUUGUGAUUAGAUUCAGGUUGAACAUUUUCCCACGAAUGCUCCGUAGAUGAUGUAUCCUCCAAGUUUCACAAGAAGGGGCGUAUGAUGUUAAAUUAUUGUCCAGUUUCUGGUUAAUUUCAAUGAUUUGGUUAAAGGUGGUAUCCACCAGAUUUAUCCAUUGUCAACAUACCUUUACAUUUUUGUAAUAAGUAACCUGUGGGAUAAUUCUUUGGCAAUAAAUAACAUAUCUUACGUACAUUGUUUCAAAGAAGAAAAAUGGCCCAGUUGAAACCUUAUAGAGUUGGAAAGGAUUAUUUCAACAAAUUUCUAGUGAGUACCCACUAAUUAUGUUAUGCUAGGUGCUAAGACCACAAAGUAGUGAGACUGACCAGAGUAAAACAAAGAGCAAAAUACCACAGGAGAAUUUGGGAGAAGGACAAAGACCACAUUAAAAGUGAGGAAAGGAAAGUUCAGAGGAGAUAUAAAAUGACCAAGAUCGAAUGUCAGAAGUGAGAUUAGAACUCUGGUUUUUCUAAUGCCCAGUACAGUGUUCUCUCCAUGACAGCAUCUGAAGAUUGUAUUGUAAAGCUGGUUCUCUGGGACAGAUUUGUUCAGAACAUUUGUUCAGAACAGAACAACAUUUGUUCUUACAGUGAAAAAAGUUCAUGACACCUUAUUGUGUAACUAAAAGAACAAGCUUUCUCCGGGCCCACCAUAGGGUGCUUUAGAAGAAAUGUUUUUUAGAUUGAUUUAAAUUACGUACCUCGUGACAUUAAACUCCUCCUUGGAGACCUAGUCGAGUUUUAUAUCAGGGAAAGUUUUUCUCAUAGUGACAGGGACAGACACACGGGUGCCACACCGUAAAGAGACACACACACACUGCUGUCGGGAAACUAAUUCAGAGGUAUUUACAUCCUACAUCCUGGGACUACUGAACAGCCGACACGUAAUUCCCGUAAUUGCUUUAUGAAAUACGGAAUGUUUGCAUAUAUAUCACUGGAAUCUCAAAAAUAACCCAGUUACUCCUUAAGGUGGGAAGCACGGAUCAGUAGAUAUAGGCUGGAUUGCUAAUUAUUUUGCCUUUACAUUUAAGAAUCUCUCGUGUAUAAUUAAUUUUCAGAACAGAAACAUAAGGGGGAAUAGUCUCAUACAUUCAUUUAUUCAUGUAUGUAUGUCAUAUAUUCAUUCAUUCAGGACUACCUCGGCUUCAAACUUAAAAGCUGGUUCUGGAGAUGUGCUGUUUUAGGCAUGCGAUUUCUUUUGAGCUCAGUUUUGAAUCUAUAGACACUGCAGUCCCAACGUGGUCUUUUCCCUGAUGGGGAAGUUCAGGGAGAAAGAGGUGGCUUCAGGCUACAAACUGGAAAAGCUCAAUUCUACCCCCUCAGUAGUUUCAGGAAUUGUUUUUAAACGUGAAGGCCAGGAUAUCAGUUGCCCUUUGCUCGCUCUUCUCAAUACGGAACCUCGUAACGUCCUGCGUACUUGGGAUAAAUGAAUUUAUUUGAACAGGUAAGUAUUUACAAUUUUUUACAUUAGGCCUGUAGUGAGAACUCCCUCCGCCAGCGGCUGAAGGGCCCUCCCUAAUCUAGAGGAGGCUGGGAUCCCCAAGAGCUCUACCGUGGGGGAGGUGACUGAAGUGGGCUGGUCAAUUGGAAAGUCCUUUUCCCCUUGCUACGAACUCGGCGAAAACUGUCCACACCCCGUGAGACAACUGACCUGAGUGUAUCCCCACUACCCCAGGCCUCCAGGCCCUGCGAAGCCUCACGGUCCGCUCAGGGACAAUCUGCGCUCAGCUCCGUCCCUGAACUCUUGCAAGGCCGCACUGGGCUAUCGUAGGCGUCAGGGGAGAAAGAUUUCUCAACUGUCAAGAGGGAAGAGCACGCCCGAGUACUCCGUCAUUUCUAGGAAGCCCGGAGCCCGCCAGGGGGCGGGGGCGGACAGGCAGGACAGCGCACAAGCCAGAUCUGCCAGCCUAGAGCCAAUCCGCGCAAGCGCAGCGCCCUUUCCCUUUGCGUGGCUGCGGUUGACCGACUCCCUCCGCCAAUUGCCGGAUCUAACUUGGUGGCCCUCUCCGCGCGCCUGACUUCCGUCCCUGAGCGGCCGUGACGUAGCGGGUCUCCUCCCCUCGCGCUCCGCGGCGCCGGUCUCUUGUGACUGAUCUAGAACCAAACCCACAAUAUCUCUGAGGUACAGCUGGAGGAGUCCGGGACUGCCUUGCCAACAUGACGCCUGGGGUGCUGCCGUGGUAUCCUCCAGUAAGAGACGCCUGUAAGCCUUGAUUACUGAUUAUUUGACAGAGUACAAGCAGGGGGAGCAGCAUACGGAGAGGGAGAAGCAGACUCUCUACUGAGCAGGGAGCCUGAUGCGGGGCUCGAUCCCAGGACCCCAGGAUCAUGACCUGAGCCAAAGCUGUUGAGAGUCGGCAGGAUAAACGCUAACUGGCCGGACUGCUGCAGCUGAGAGAUGGUGGGACAUCCGACGAAAGCUGACAGAAGGGAAGAAGCCUCACCACCACAUCACCUACUGGAUCUCUCCCUGCAUGGGCUCAAUUUAGAUACAGAAAUUGCUUCCAUAUCUUGGAUAUUACAAAAGAAAAUGAAGUGAUAAACUUAAGAGUGCGUAUAUCUUCUUGAAGUAGUGGUUUUCCAUUCCUCUGACUAAAUACCCAGGAGUGGAAUCACUGGAUCCUGGGAGAGAGAGAGAGAGAGCACACCAGAAGGCAGAGGGAGAGGGAGAAGCAGGCUCCCCACUGAGCAGAGAGCCCAACACGGGGCUCAAUCCCAGGACCCCAGGCUCAUGACCUGAGCCGAAGGCAGAUGCUUAACGGACUCAGGUGCCCAGCAUUGAAGAAUGACUGCACGGGACCAGAGAAAUCACAACAGUUUAUGUAUGGAUAAUCUUUGACUACAGAGCAAUCAGUACAGAGAUCACCAGAGACAUUUAAACUGCAAACCAGAAAAAUCUGAUUGUGACUCCCUGCCCUCACUCUAUCUAAAGAUGCUCUGAAAUGGACAUCUAGAAAUCUUCUCAAGUGGCUACCCUCAGAAUGGAGAAACUGAUUUAUAAUUUGCUCCAAUUAUUAACCAUUAUUUUAUUCUCUCUAUAGAAAUGACUUAUUGAGGGACGCCUGGGUGGCUCAGUUGGUUAAGCAGCUGCCUUUGGCUCAUGAUCCCAGCGUCCUGGAAUCGGGUCCCACACUGGGCUUCCUGCUCAGCAGGGACCUUGCUUCUCCCUCUGCCUGCCGCUCCUCCUGCUUGUGUUCUCUCUGACAAAUAAGUCUUUUUUUUUUUUUUUUAAAGAUUUUACUUAAUACUUGAUUACUUGAACCACAGGCCUAACUUAGGAAAACAUACCUGUGAGACCAUCUCCAGAAGUGAGUUUAACUGAACUGAUUCCUUGUCAGGACUGAGACUGGCUUGACAAGAUGGAACAAUCUCCAGACUCCAUUCCCUCUUCUGAAACUUUCCUGGAAGGUUCACAUAUUAUCAGGACCCAGGCCUGGCCACCCAAAAUGUGCCACGAUGGCAUAUUAAUUAUUUUGAAUAUAGCCAGUGUAGGAAGAACUGUCUGACCUUCCUUUGUCUCCAGAAAGCAUGAAAUAAAUCUCUCAUGUGAAAGUGGCCAAGGCUCCUAGGCCUAUCCUAGCGGCCCCACCCUGACAAGACCGUCCAGAUUCCUGCGGGCAGAGGCCGUGAAUCCACUCUAAACAGCUGGGCAUUCCGGACACCCUGUUCCAGAUCUCUGGCUUCCCUGAUCUCCAUGGCCCAUGGCUGUACAGUAUGCACCCUGGCAGUUGGCUUUGGGCAGCCAAGGGCCCUCUAGGCCGGUGAAGCUCCGGCUGGCCCCCAGCCACCUGCAUCACCGCCUGCAGAAGUGGGAGUCUACCCUGAAGAGAUUCCUGAAGUGUCAGCUUUAAACUAGUGCUAUUCGGCCCACGUUUGGACUGGCUGCCUGAUGAGGUCCCUGGUGUCAUCAGUAGUCCAGGACCCCAGCUGUAUCUCAUCGGAGGAUACCUCUGCCAGUCAGAUUGGCUCAACCCUAGCAACGUGACCCAGGUUCCUCCAAUUCUGCCUUGGCAGGGAGUAUGGGCCUCGGUGUAGGUUAGGGCUUGGAACUGGGCAAAUGCCAGGUACCACCAACAGCCUGCUCCUGUGACCUGGGCUGGCCUGACAUUGCCGAGUUCUGGAUUCCUGGCUAUCCUGACCUUGCUCCCCUGCACGAGGUGUCUAUUUGGGUUUCUGUCUUUAUAAUUUUGUGAAAGUGGGGAGGUCUAGGUGGUUUAUGUGGCCAAAAGGGCCUUGGAGAUUUAGGUCUAUAUGGUCUAUUUUGAUGAGGUCUAUUUAUAUUAGGUGUAGGCCUGUUUUGUCUCUAUACAUGCAUGUUAAAGAAAAAGCUUUUAUCUUGACUUAGUUCCUCAGCUGUUCUUAUCAAGUCAAUCAGUUCUCCACACUUGGCAGCUACAGCCUCUCCCCAACCACCUACAUUUCUUUGGGUAAAGGGAGCCCACUGCCUCCAAAUCACUGAGGUAGCCACUGAAACGUACACCCCAUUGUACUUACCGGGGUAGGCUUCCUCGGUUUCUGUACCCGUCAGGCUCCCAUGUGUCUCUUAACUGAAAGGUACCUCAGCCAUUUCAUUCAAUUUAGCUCUGGUAAGGCAGGCCGGAUCCCUCCUGCCCCGCCUUUAGAGGGAAUAUGAUCAUUGGAAUAGGUUAAAGCUGGGAAUUAGGCAGAUGCCUUGUACCCACAAGACCCAUUCCUGCGACCAGGUUUCUCUUGACACUUGCCCUGUAACAGGUCCACGGCGACUCUGACCACUGUGGCUGGCAUAUGCACUAUAUGCAUCUCAUCAUCAGGCCUCCAUAAGAAAUAUUUGGAAAAAUACUUCGAAAGGCAGGAGGUCAAUUGCAAACGUUCCUCACUAACUCUACCAAAAUUGCCCAAGAGGUGGCUUAGGGGUACAAUGGAUUAUAAAUUUCCUGAGGAUCCUUGGAGACCUAUGGAAGACUUAGUCCAGACAAAACUUAUAAUUAAGGAAACUCCAGAUGUUGGCCUGAUCACCCAAUGCAGUGAGUUAUAGCCUGUAUUUGAAAAAAGCAAUAAAAAUUUUUUUUCAGUGCACUUCUUAGAAGCACGAAGUAACAUGCCAAUAGACAGAAAAGUACUAGCACCAAAAGUAAUCUCCAGAGAAGGAAGAAUCCCAGGUCCUUUGUUCCUAAAAGCACCAAUCCACACCUUAAGGACAAUGAAUACUUGGACCCUUUCACCCUGGUAACUAACUUACUAGAGGCUAGGCCCAGGAAAAUAGGCAAAACGACAACAAAUGAUACUAUGGAACCAUUCAGAGUGACUGAGGGGAGAGAUUGUAACAAGUAAGAAAUGACAAAAACUAAAAUGGAACUCCAACAAACGGAUCUGGACCCAGAAAUCCAGUGGCUAUGAAAGAGGGUCCAAAGGAAGACAAAACCUGAUCCUUACAGGAGCAGAGAUUGUGCAACUUGCGCCAGUUACUACUGAUGGUAAAUUUAAUCAAAACCUUCAAGCAUUUGGAGAAAAUACUAUGAAUUUAUAAGGAAUUUGGUUUGGCUGGGUAGCAGCCACCUAAAGAUUAAGAUGGCCUGGGGGCGCCUGGGUGGCUCAGUUAAGUGUCUGCCUUCGGCUUGGGUGAUGAUCUCAGGGUCCUGGGAUCGAGCCCCGCAUCGGGCUCCCUGCUCAACAGGGAGCCUGCUUCUCCCUCUCCCUCUGCCAAUCCCACUGCUUGUGCCCUCCUACUCUCUCUGCCAAAUAAAUAAAUCUAAAAAAAAAAAGAUUAAGAUGGCCUAUAUGUAAGAUAUUAUUCCUUCAAACAUCUCUUUGGAAAACAGCAUGGGAAGCUAAGACAAUAAUGAAAUAGGCCUUUGACUAUGAUUUAUAAUAGAGGACAGACACCCUCAUUGCUCCAGAACAAAUUUAAAAGUCAUCCUAAAAGCUGAACCCCCACAGACAAGAAAGCAUUAUUUAUAGUAUUUGCAGGGACCAGAAACACUGGAGAAUUGAUUGACUUGAUAAGAACAGCUGAGGAACUAAGUCAAGAUAAAAGCUUUUUCUUUAACACGCAUGUAUAGAGACAAAACAGGCCUACACCUAAUAUAAAUAGACCUCAUCAAAAUAGACCAUAUAGACCUAAAUCUCCAAGGCCCUUUUGGCCACAUAAACCACCUAGACCUCCCCACUUUCACAAAAUUAUAAAGACAGAAACCCAAAUAGACACCCCAAAAACCCUAACAGUGGCAGAGAAAUGGAAACCACCAAUGUUUUAGAGUAAAUAGACCUACCGAAAAUAAACGCAUAGACCCAUUAACCCAUUUACUGUCCAUUCCAACCCCUUUAUAAAACCUAAUCCAUUACUAGACAAGUCCCUGAUAGCUGAAGUAGAGCACACCGCUGAGCCCUCCUGGCCCAUACUGGAGACAGUGCUGCAUAGUUUGUGCCGGCCAUGUCAGUAGACACACCUUGGUAAAUAAGAAUAUUACAUACACUACCAUGUUGCUAGAUACAGGGUUCAUAACAUGAUACAAGCCUAGCCCACUAAUCUACAAAAAACUGAACAACAACAAAGCACUCAGGGAAGGGUUAGGAGGAAAAUUAACCCCAGGGACAUGGAUAUGGAGAUUCCUAACAAGAGAUGAUAGACCACCCACUGAGGUUAAGUGCCUUAUAGUUUCCCAGUACAGAAGACAUUCCUGGCGUGGAUGUAAUAGAACAUACUCAAAAUCAGGAAAACCUUGAGGAACUCCUAGAGGAACAAAUUAAUGUGCCUACUAUUUCAUUACAUAAUAGCCCAAGCUGGACUGUUAAAAAGCCAGACAGGCCAUAUCAUUUUACAGUAGAUUAGAGGAAUUGAAACACUCUCCCCAAAAUGAGGGAGCACUCUGGGAUAUAGGCACUAUCAUAACCAAUAUCACCACUGGAUCCAGACUUUAUAACACAGUGAGAGACUUAGGUGACAUGUUCUUUGCUAUUCCAAUUGAUGAGGAGAGCCAACCCAUGAUUUCAUUUCCAUGGGAAGGCAGAGGAGAUCAGUUUGCUGGGCUACCACAAGGUUACCUUAGCAGCCCAGUAGUGGCCCACAACCUUCCAACACAAGACAUCCAGGCCUUUGAUGAAAACACACACAAAACCCAGUAUCUCCUAUAUAUUGAGGACAUCCUUAUUUAUGGUGAUAACUGGGAAAAACAAGACUAGUAAAAAACAGACUAGUAAAGAGUUAACGGAAUUCCUUACACUCCGAAAAUGAAAAAUGGACCCAGGUGAGAUCCAAAGACCCCCGCUACAGUAAAAGUCCUAGACAAAAUUUGGUUCUCUGAAGGCAUAGAAAUACCACACCCAGUCAGAAACAAUAUAGAUUGCAUAUCAACUCCUACCACAAAAGCAGCAGCUCAAACUGAUAGGACUGUUUGAAUAUUGGCCACAGCACAUACCAUCUAUGGGGAUAAUAUUAAGACACAUUUAUGAAAUAAAGAGGAAGAGCAGGGAAUUUAGAUAGAGACUCAAGACGCAGCCUUUAUUUGAAAAAUGCUGUCAGAAUGUUUAAACAUGGGCACCAGCUAACGAGGACUCUAAACUAGAGUGCCUAUACUCACGAGUCUGCAGCAGCAUCACUGUGGCCUGAAACACCACAGAACCCCAAGUUUUACCUGACUGGGCUUUACACUAUGGAGUUCCUAUUGUCUGAGAACAUACACCAACCAAUUGAAAGGCUCACCCAGGCAUUCUAUGAGGCCUUAUGAAACACAGAACCACUGAUAGAAAAUAAACCAAUUAUACUUUAACAACCCCUUCUGGAGUAGGUAAAGCAGACCCCUGACAAAUAAAUGAGAACUACUCAUGAGCAUAAGGUCCUAAGACAAAAAUAGUACAUAUCUGAGUGGGGCAUCCAGAUGAAAGGUUGACCUCUGUAUUAACUGAAAAAUGUCUCCCCAAUGCCAGUAGUGGGCUUGCUGGAUUUCAAGGCAUAAGGUUGAACAGUUGGGCAAGAGGGACCACCCUGAUCCACAUCAGUCAACGGAUGUAUGGUUUUAGAUGGAUCAGGCUCCCUGCUGUUAUCCAGAGUAUGCUGGCAGUCUGUGGCCUUGAGAACUAAGAAUGGUCUAUCAGAAUCAGGCUGAAGGUAAUCAGUACAAUAGACUAAAUUAGCAGCCAUAAAACUGGUAACUGAACAUUCUGUUAAGGAAAAUCAGAAUGAGGUAUAUAAAUAUUUUUGGACCCAGGGCCAGUAGGUAAAUGAAUAGCUCUUUGUUCAGGUCAUGCCAGGAAAAUGGGAAAUAGGAUAUAAGAAGAUAUGGGGUAAGGACAUAUGGCAGGAAAUAGCACUGGAUGACAUCUCUAUAGUGAUUAUAUAGGUCUCUGCACAUCAGAAGGCCAACUUGGAAGCAAUUUUAAUAACCAGGUAGCCUAUCUAAGCAAGAAGGACAACAAAACAUAAAACAUGGACUCCCAGAUACACCCACGGAGAGGACCACUGCUUGGGCACGUGACCAAACAGGCCACGCAGGCAUACAUGGCACUGGAACACUGCUGGCAAAAAGACACACGAAUAGAACUCCCAGAUAGCUUCAAUUUUAAAUUAGGAAAUGUGAGGAAUAUCAACAUUUUGAAGCUUAUUCAUUCAUUCAUUCUUCAUUACAUUAAUGAGUCAUCUGGGUAAGGUCAAAGAUAACAAUCUUUCCAAAUUACACAAACUAAUUACAUGGAACCCUGGCCUAAAUCAGAGAAUAAACCAUAUGCACGCACCACUGUAGGCACAUAGGAAUAGGAUUACCCUAUCUUUGCAGGAGAAAUGAUUAAAAAAAUCCACCAUCGAAGCCUUAGGAAUCUGGAUUUUUUUGCUCUGGUUUUCCAACCAUCAUAAAAUCAGCUCAGGGCCCCCACUUCACAGGAAAGCUAAUACAAGAAUGGGCUAAGAAACAAGACAUAAUAUGGAACUUCCUCUUACCCUGUAACCCAACUGCCUCUGCAUCAGUUGAAAGGUAUCAUGGCUUGCUUAAGCAAAAGCUUAAGUUACUUACUAACAAUCUAGAAUAUGAAAGCUUAGACUAAAACAAUCUGAGAGGCAGAUAUAGAAGGGGUGGAAAAACUUCCAGUGAAUUAAUAUUGCAGGCACCGACAGAGAUGGGAAUUAGUAUUAACAGCACUCCAGAAUCUCAGUUGAAAGUAUUAACUGAAAAACAUAAAAACAUAUAUGGUACUGGGGACAUACCACCUGCCAUAAUAACACCUACUGGGUGACCAAAAGAAAAGGCAUACUACAGCAAAAUAAAGACCACAAUAUGCCUCUAUAAAAGUCUUAGCCAUGUAGAACACCCUUCUAUAUUUUGUCAAAACUAGACUAAUAUUUAGCAUAGUAUAAUGCAGAGCGAUUAUGCUUGCACCAAGAUGGUCAAUAAUGACCAUGACAACAAUAGAAUUCCUUAGAUGGCAAGAACAACAAGGAAGAAUUACAAAUUUGUAGGACAUUACGUUUUGCAGUCCUGACUCCACUAUGCAUCUUUAACCCUAUAACUACUAAACAGGUCAGCGUACCAUGCUGCCUGCAGGCCAUCCUUUUUUGCCUAUUGUUCAUGAAGGGGUUCAGGACAGUCACCCCAGAAUGUACCACUUUGGCAUACAUACUAUUUUGUUCUGAAGGCACUUGAAAUCAUGUGGGCUCAAGAGAAACUUUUGUCCUUAACCACCCAGAAGAAUCUAAAUUGGUGGUCUUUGCUAGAAUAAGGGUUAACAGAAGUAAAUUUUAUCUGAGCGCCCAUCUGCAUGGAAAGGCAAACAUCUAAUUACCAAACACCUGCUCUUCAUAUUGCCCUGUGAAGUGCAUUCUUUUCCUCUGAAACCCCACACACCUGCCCCCUUCUCCUAAGUUCUGAAUGACAUAUAUACUUCAUUUUGCCUAACUUUGGAAUUUCCAUGUCUAUGUGGAUUCCCAUACAUACGCAAUUAGAUUCUGUUUUCUCCUGUUAAUCUCUCUCAUGUCAAUUUGAUUCUUAGUCCAGCUAGAAGGACCUUUGAGGGGCCAGGAAUUCUUGCUCCCUGACAGUCACUUUGUAUAUCAUACUCAGUAAAGCUAUGGAUACUUCUCUGAUAUCUCCCAGCAAUAGCAGUCAUGCCACUGUUCCAAACUGGAACAUUCUGCUCCAGAUACACCUCAAGUCUGUGACAUCCUCUUAUUCCUCCAUGGAUCGCCAUUUUGGUCACCUUAUUGUGACUGAAGACUUAACUGCAUUACCAGCAUCACCAAGCUCAGCCUUUUCACCCCUCCCUUCACUAUCAGCACCAUCUACUUCCUGGGAAAACUUCAAUCAAUGGAGAAACCAAAUACUAAGAAAAGCUGAUGAGGCAGUGGUAACCUCCAUUUCAAUCUUCACAAGAAUCAAUGAGGAUCCUGAUCAACACUUCCUAUUUGACGCUGACUUGGAUCAUAAAGAUUGACAUGAAAUACUAAUUGUCUCUUGGUAAUACAACCCAGCAUACAGGCCAAGUCUGGUUAGUACAGACUUACACUUUUCCCUUAUCUUACUGAGUUGAGUGCAAUAUUGGAUACAUGGCAGAGACUGUGGAAAUGACCCCAAUUUAAUUCCUGAUUUCUUUGUGUGGCAGCAGUUUAUUCUAAAAGAGUAGCAGCUGAAUAUCCCGAAUGGGUUAUUAUAUAUUUAAAUAUGAAUAGGCCAAAAAAUGAUCAUUUACAACACUCUCAACUUACACUGUAUAAUCCAUUGUCACGUAUUAGAAAAUUAACAAUAGGUCCAAGGUCACCGUCUCCAGACUUUGAAAAAAGAGACAACUUGUAAGGUGUAUAGAGGACACACAGGAAACUUAGCAUAUAACAUAUCAUUAUCCUUGGUGGUACACAUUAGGCUUCUAUCUCACACCGAAGAUUUCUACUCCAAGAAUAUGGGAACCCACGUUAAUAAGACCUCUCAUGGUCAUACUGGAACUGAUAUAAUUGCCUACACCCUGAAAUUUUAUAUUCAGGACUUUCAACCAGAUACAGAGCCCCAAACUGUCCUCAGUUGUGUGCAUCUUUGCUACUGUGCAGUUUACCACUAUGCCAAUAACAGCUUCACUAAAAAGAAAGAAACCCUUAUAAUUCCUUAUCAGACUGGCAAGAAGUUUACCUGAGGAAAAACAGUAGCUGCUUUUUCUCACUUCCAAAUUGAUUAAAUCACAUUGUUUCAAAAAUUUUGAAACCAGGGGCGCCUGGGUGGCUCAGUAGGUUAAGCGUCUGCCUUCGGCUCAGGUCAUGAUCCCAGGGUCCUGGGACCGAGCCCCACAUCGGGCUCCGCAUUAGGCUCCCUGCUCAGCAGGAAGCCUGCUUCUCCCUCUGCCUCUGCCUCUUCCCCCGCUCAUGCUCUAUAUCUGUGUCUCAAAUGAAUAAAUUAAAAAUCUUUAAAUAAAAAAUUUUGAAGCCAAUCUGAAUUUAACACACUGGCAAUGGCAGCUUUGUCACUGUUGGACACAUAAGUGGAUCAAAUUAGCAAUAUAUUAAAAAACAGAAUUUCACACGGAAAUACAGCAAAGGAAAUUUGACAUAAAGCAGAAAAUGCUAAAACUAACAUAAUACUAAAAAAGACAUAAAAGAUAUAUAUAUAUAUGUUUAAAGAUGAUUUAUUUGAGAGAAAGUAAGAGAGAGAGAGAACAUGAGCCGGGGGAGGGAGAGAGGAAGAAGCAGGCUCUUCCUUUUCCUGGCCUGAGCCGCCCAGGCGCCCCAGAAGAUGUUUCUCUGAAUGUAGAUUGUGAAUUGUUGCCAUUGAGGUUGGCUGAUAUGUGGAAUAUUCUUAGAACAGCUAUAAUCUUGGGGUAAUAGUGGUCACCUGAGAUAAGAGACAACCAGGCAGAAGUAAAGUAGAUAUCAUACAUUCUAGGGGCUGUGAUUCAAUGGGUGACUGUGAAAAUAACAAUAUUGGCUCUUAGAGGCAGGUGACAUAGGGGUACCACACUUUUGUGUCUUCUCAAUAUCAGAAUGCCACAGAAACCCACCUUAUGUUAGAAGGAAAAAAUGUACUUAAGGAUAUGCUGGUGGAAUGGAUCCAAAAUAACUUUAUUAGUACAAGACCUCUGGACAUACGUGUAGUACAAGUCCUGAGGACUACGGCCUUGACGCCUCCUCAACUAGUUACAUGUAAUAUGGGAAAGUGGACCAGGAUAGUAUACUCUAAGCCCAAACUCACCCUAACCUAUUGGGAGUCAAGGGAAAAAUAUGAACCCAACACAAUGGGAUGCGUAAAAACAGAACAGGUAAUGAAUGUGACAACAGAAGGAAAAAAUAUUAUUUGAGGCCAAGAUAAAGGGCCUAUUAAAAUAACUGGAGAAAUACUUCACAUUGAACCUCUUAAAAUUAAUAAAUGUAAAUCAUGCUUUAGAAAACUUAAGUAAAGGAACAUUGGGAAGAUGGGACUAAUAAAGUAAAAAUAACUUCGCAAAAUUGGAAAGAGAACAAAAGCAUGCCUUCCCUAGAUAAUGACCGCCUUGAAUUCUGAUGUUACGCAGUCGGGCAUGUGCCUGACGGGGCCAUGCAAGUGCGUACUCCCUGGAGCUCGGUAAAAAUGAUCUUUCCUUGGAAAUGUCAUUGUUAAACUGCCUGGUUUAAGAAACUUAUCUUUUGGUUGCUUGAAGAUUGGAUAUGCUAUCGUGGUAAAGAGUUCCUUGUUAGGCUUAGAUUGGUCAUAAUUAGGAAUAUGGUUGCUUAAACUGUUCAUUCAACUAUGGUGUAAAUGUGUCUGUGUCAAGGGAAAAAUACUCCCCAAAUAUGUUUUUUUGUGAUUAAGAAUGUGACGUAGAGUCCCAGGGUGGGUGGAUAUUUUUGUGAACUUAGGUUUUUACAGGACAUUAGGCCCUGAAUAUAAAUAAGCAUGUGAGUGAUUUGAAAUCACUGGAUGGAUUAUUGUAUAUUGGCUUGAUUUGAUUUCAAAUCCACUAGUUUAUGACAAGAACUGAAAACAGUUGUUUUUAGAACAAAAGCGGUUUUGAUAGAACAAUGAAGAAAAUUGUGUCAGGAUGUCAUCAUCUCAUCUGUUCCUACCCAUAGGAACUUGGUACAUCAGCUGAGGGACCCCAUGGGGGGGAGGGCUUAACAAUAAAAACAUAGGAAGCAGCAACUAUGGCAAGGGGACAGAAGACUGUAACUACUGAGUGUGAGGACUAUCCAGAGCGUUCAGUCUGGGCAAGGCUACGCUUUGCUGAUCUAAACAGGUCUCUGAAGACCUUGGGGCAAUUAGGUCCUUUUGAGAUAAGGGGACUCUUACUGACAGGAACAAAAGCCAUGCGGAGGCGAGAAGAUCAUCUUGCUGGUCAUCACCAGCGCCCUUGUUCUCUAGCAAUGUGCUUUAUCAACAGAGGCUCUUACCUUUGUACUGGUCGCUGGCAUGUCCACUCUUGGCUGGUUAAGCUUUCUCUUCCAAGUGCCAGUGCCUCUAAAGGCACACCUCAGUUUAUGUAUUUAUUUAAAAGAUUUUGUUUAUUAAUGAGAGAGAGGCUGCAGAACACAGAGGGAGAAGCAAGCUCCCUGAGGAGCAGGGAGACCGAUGGGGGACUCGAUCCCAGGACCCCGAGAUCAUGACCUGAGCCGAAGGCAGAUGCUUAACCGACUGAGCUACCCAGGCGCCCUACACCUCAAUUUAAAUUGGACUUUGCUCCUUUCAUCUCACCUUGCCUGGAACAACAGUGUCAUUAAUCUAACACUGGGUUGGAGUAGGUUAUGAAUUUAUCGGCUAACAGAAGACAUUAUACUGUGUGCUAUUGGCUCGUGAAAUUUACAGUGGACCUGUGUUAAAUACACUGCGCAAAGACAA
This is a long non-coding RNA of Mirounga angustirostris (Northern elephant seal), 20322 nucleotides long. RefSeq lists it as uncharacterized. The record is from RefSeq and is a predicted model, not a curated record. The transcript is spliced from 9 exons. Lineage: Eukaryota; Metazoa; Chordata; Mammalia; Carnivora; Phocidae.